UACGGAGGGUGCGAGCGUUGUCCGGAAUCACUGGGCGUAAAGGGCGCGUAGGCGGCGCGGUAAGCGUGCGGUGAAAGCCCGGGGCUCAACCCCGGGUCGGCCGUGCGGACUGCCGGGCUCGAGCACUGUAGAGGCGGGUGGAAUUCCAGGUGUAGCGGUGAAAUGCGUAGAUAUCUGGAGGAACACCGGUGGCGAAGGCGGCAUCCUGGACCAACACUGACGCUGAGGAGCGAAAGCCAGGGGAGCAAACGGG
This 253-nucleotide ribosomal RNA is filed under the name uncultured bacterium. RNAcentral describes it as "partial 16S ribosomal RNA". It matches the Rfam family "Bacterial small subunit ribosomal RNA", at positions 524 to 776 of the family's 1533-position model. The record is from RNAcentral.